This 465-nucleotide ribosomal RNA is filed under the name uncultured Klebsiella sp. RNAcentral describes it as "bacterial SSU rRNA". It matches the Rfam family "Bacterial small subunit ribosomal RNA", at positions 338 to 795 of the family's 1533-position model. The record is from RNAcentral. Lineage: Bacteria; Pseudomonadati; Pseudomonadota; Gammaproteobacteria; Enterobacterales; Enterobacteriaceae.
CCUACGGGGGGCUGCAGUGGGGAAUAUUGCACAAUGGGCGCAAGCCUGAUGCAGCCAUGCCGCGUGUGUGAAGAAGGCCUUCGGGUUGUAAAGCACUUUCAGCGGGGAGGAAGGCGUUAAGGUUAAUAACCUUGGCGAUUGACGUUACCCGCAGAAGAAGCACCGGCUAACUCCGUGCCAGCAGCCGCGGUAAUACGGAGGGUGCAAGCGUUAAUCGGAAUUACUGGGCGUAAAGCGCACGCAGGCGGUCUGUCAAGUCGGAUGUGAAAUCCCCGGGCUCAACCUGGGAACUGCAUUCGAAACUGGCAGGCUAGAGUCUUGUAGAGGGGGGUAGAAUUCCAGGUGUAGCGGUGAAAUGCGUAGAGAUCUGGAGGAAUGCCGGUGGCGAAGGCGGCCCCCUGGACAAAGACUGACGCUCAGGUGCGAAAGCGUGGGGAGCAAACAGGAUUAGAUACCCGAGUAGUC